CAGUAGCCACGGUAAAACGAAGGGUGCAAGCGUUACUCGGAAUUACUGGGCGUAAAGCGUGCGUAGGUGGUGGUUUAAGUCCGUUGUGAAAGCCCUGGGCUCAACCUGGGAAUUGCAGUGGAUACUGGGUCACUAGAGUGUGGUAGAGGAUAGUGGAAUUUCCGGUGUAGCAGUGAAAUGCGUAGAGAUCGGAAGGAACAUCUGUGGCGAAGGCGACUAUCUGGGCCAACACUGACACUGAGGCACGAAAGCGUGGGGAGCAAACAGGAUUAGAUACCCGAGUAGUCCCUGUCUCUUAUAC
This 301-nucleotide ribosomal RNA is filed under the name uncultured bacterium. Its description in RNAcentral is "partial 16S ribosomal RNA". It matches the Rfam family "Bacterial small subunit ribosomal RNA", at positions 509 to 807 of the family's 1533-position model. The record is from RNAcentral.